GCUUCUACAAAACUGUGUUUCACAGACAAAGGAGUGAAGAUCUGCUCGGGGACACCGGCCUUGCACGUCUUCCCUUCUAGAAGAUGCAUGCUAAAAUGAAGAUGAAAAAAGAUGAAUAAAGGUUUUGUGAAAUAACUACUGAGGUCUGGUGCCGUCUCUGGAUGCCCGAGGAAUAAAAAGAACCGGGGUGAAACUGAUUUCUCAACACUCCACAGACCCCCCUCCUUUUUUCCAACCGUAUACCUAUUCUCUCUCACAUGUUUGGGUUAAUAAUUAGGCCUACAUAGCUGCUGGUUGCAGCUUAAAGAUUCAUCUUAAAGAUCCUAAAUUUGUCAUUGAUUUAAACUUUGGGGUUUGCAGAACACACGUGCAGAAAAUUACAGAGUAAACAGUGAAAACCACAAACUUAAGUCACAAGAUGCUGGAAUUCCAUUUUUUAUUUGAGCAGAAACUUUCAAGGGUCUGUGCCCAGUUGAUGAUCAAACAGUCCAGCAGGUGGCGAUAAUGCACCAGCGUUAUCCGCCAAAAAGAAAAAAGAAGAAGAAGAAGCAGAGUUCCCGCUUGAUUGCGUUUGCUUCUCAGUUUUUCGCUUUCUCAUCCAAAGCUGAUCAGCUGGAGGAGAAGAGUCUGACGGAGCAGCAGAGGAACAUUUCCAGCUACUUGGAAUCAGUUGAGUCACUACAGAGAAAACAAUGAGCUCAACACAGAAGAGUGCGUUUGUGCUCGCUGAAAAAGCCUGGGCGGGAUCUAACCUACUGUACAAGUGGCAGAAAAGCUUUGGCAGAUAU
Long non-coding RNA from Oreochromis niloticus (Nile tilapia), 788 nucleotides. RefSeq lists it as uncharacterized. The transcript is spliced from 3 exons. The record is from RefSeq and is a predicted model, not a curated record. NCBI's taxonomy places the organism in Eukaryota, Metazoa, Chordata, Actinopteri, Cichliformes, Cichlidae.